GUGGGGAAUCUUAGACAAUGGGCGCAAGCCUGAUCUAGCCAUGCCGCGUGAGCGAUGAAGGCCUUAGGGUUGUAAAGCUCUUUCGUGGGGGAAGAUAAUGACUGUACCCCAAGAAGAAGCCCCGGCUAACUCCGUGCCAGCAGCCGCGGUAAUACGGAGGGGGCUAGCGUUGUUCGGAAUUACUGGGCGUAAAGCGCACGUAGGCGGACUGGAAAGUCAGGGGUGAAAUCCCGGGGCUCAACCCCGGAACUGCCUUUGAAACUCCCAGUCUUGAGUUCGAGAGAGGUGAGUGGAAUUCCGAGUGUAGAGGUGAAAUUCGUAGAUAUUCGGAGGAACACCAGUGGCGAAGGCGGCUCACUGGCUCGAUACUGACACUGAGGUGCGAAAGCGUGGGGAGCAAACAGGAUUAGAAACCCGGGUAGUCC
RNAcentral lists this ribosomal RNA (425 nucleotides) under uncultured bacterium. RNAcentral's name for it is "partial 16S ribosomal RNA". It matches the Rfam family "Bacterial small subunit ribosomal RNA", at positions 354 to 796 of the family's 1533-position model. The record is from RNAcentral.